UCAAGUAAUUAAGUGCAUGUGGUGGAUGCCUUGGCAGUCAGAGGCGAUGAAAGACGUGAUAGCCUGCGAAAAGCUCCGGGGAGGCGGCAAAUAUCCUUUGAUCCGGAGAUGUCUGAAUGGGGGAACCCACCUACUUUAAGGUAGGUAUUGCAACAUGAAUACAUAGUGUUGCAAGGCGAACGAGGGGAAGUGAAACAUCUCAGUACCCUUAGGAAAAGAAAUCAAUUGAGAUUCCCUCAGUAGCGGCGAGCGAACGGGGAUCAGCCCAUUAAGUUAUGUGUGUUUUAGUGGAACGCUCUGGGAAGUGCGAACGUAGAGGGUGAUAUUCCCGUACACGAAAGGGCACACAUAAUGAUGACGAGUAGGGCGAGGCACGUGAAACCUUGUCUGAAUAUGGGGGGACCAUCCUCCAAGGCUAAAUACUCCUGACUGACCGAUAGUGAACCAGUACCGUGAGGGAAAGGCGAAAAGAACCCCUGUGAGGGGAGUGAAAUAGAUCCUGAAACCGCAUGCAUACAAGCAGUGGGAGCACCUUCGUGGUGUGACUGCGUACCUUUUGUAUAAUGGGUCAGCGACUUAUAUUCAGUAGCAAGGUUAACCGUAUAGGGGAGCCGUAGAGAAAUCGAGUCUUAAUAGGGCGUUUAGUUGCUGGGUAUAGACCCGAAACCAGGCGAUCUAUCCAUGAGCAGGUUGAAGGUUGGGUAACACUAACUGGAGGACCGAACCCACUGUCGUUGAAAAGCCAGGGGAUGACUUGUGGAUAGGGGUGAAAGGCUAAUCAAGCCUGGUGAUAGCUGGUUCUCCCCGAAAGCUAUUUAGGUAGCGCCUCGGACGAAUACCAUAGGGGGUAGAGCACUGUUUCGGCUAGGGGGUCAUCCCGACUUACCAAACCGAUGCAAACUCCGAAUACCUAUGAGUACUAUCCGGGAGACAGACUGCGGGUGCUAACGUCCGUAGUCAAGAGGAAAACAAUCCAGACCGCCAGCUAAGGCCCCAAAAUCAUAGUUAAGUGGGAAACGAUGUGGGAAGGCAUAGACAGCUAGGAGGUUGGCUUAGAAGCAGCCACCCUUUAAAGAAAGCGUAAUAGCUCACUAGUCGAGUCGGCCUGCGCGGAAGAUGUAACGGGGCUAAAACUAUGUGCCGAAGCUGCGGAUGUAUACUUUGUAUACGUGGUAGGGGAGCGUUCUGUAAGCCGAUGAAGGUGUGUUGAGAAGCAUGCUGGAGGUAUCAGAAGUGCGAAUGCUGACGUGAGUAACGACAAAACGGGUGAAAAACCCGUUCGCCGAAAGACCAAGGGUUCCAGUCCAACGUUAAUCGGGGCUGGGUGAGUCGACCCCUAAGGCGAGGCCGAAAGGCGUAGUCGAUGGGAAAAUGGUUAAUAUUCCAUUACUUCUGUGUAAUGCGAUGAGAGGACGGAGAAGGCUAAAUCAGCCUGGCGUUGGUUGUCCAGGUGAAAGGAUGUAGGCAUGUAUCUUAGGCAAAUCCGGGGUACUCUAUGCUGAGAUCUGAUAGCAAGCUGUACUUGUACAGCGAAGUGGUUGAUGCCAUGCUUCCAGGAAAAGUCUCUAAGCUUCAGUUACACAGGAAUCGUACCCGAAACCGACACAGGUGGUCAGGUCGAGUAGACCAAGGCGCUUGAGAGAACUCUGCUGAAGGAACUAGGCAAAAUGGUACCGUAACUUCGGGAGAAGGUACGCUGUUGUUGGUGAUGGAACUUGCUUCCUGAGCUGACGACAGCCGCAGAAACCAGGCCGCUGCAACUGUUUAUUAAAAACAUAGCACUCUGCAAACACGAAAGUGGACGUAUAGGGUGUGAUGCCUGCCCGGUGCUGGAAGGUUAAUUGAUGGGGUUAGCGUAAGCGAAGCUCUUGAUCGAAGCCCCAGUAAACGGCGGCCGUAACUAUAACGGUCCUAAGGUAGCGAAAUUCCUUGUCGGGUAAGUUCCGACCUGCACGAAUGGCAUAAUGAUGGCGGCGCUGUCUCCAGCAGAGGCUCAGUGAAAUCGAAAUCGCUGUGAAGAUGCAGUGUACCCGCGGCUAGACGGAAAGACCCCGUGAACCUUUACUGCAGCUUGACACUGAACUUUGACCUUACUUGUGUAGGAUAGGUGGGAGGCUUUGAAGCUGGAACGCUAGUUCCAGUGGAGCCGUCCUUGAAAUACCACCCUGGUAAUGUUGAGGUUCUAACUCUGUCCCGUGAUCCGGGACGAGGACCGUGUCUGGUGGGUAGUUUGACUGGGGCGGUCUCCUCCUAAAGAGUAACGGAGGAGUACGAAGGUGCGCUCAGCGUGGUCGGAAAUCACGCGUAGAGUAUAAAGGCAAAAGCGCGCUUAACUGCGAGACCCACAAGUCGAGCAGGUACGAAAGUAGGUCUUAGUGAUCCGGUGGUUCUGUAUGGAAGGGCCAUCGCUCAACGGAUAAAAGGUACUCUGGGGAUAACAGGCUGAUACCGCCCAAGAGUUCAUAUCGACGGCGGUGUUUGGCACCUCGAUGUCGGCUCAUCUCAUCCUGGGGCUGAAGCAGGUCCCAAGGGUAUGGCUGUUCGCCAUUUAAAGAGGUACGCGAGCUGGGUUUAGAACGUCGUGAGACAGUUCGGUCCCUAUCUACCGUGGGCGCUGGAAAUUUGAGAGGAUCUGCUCCUAGUACGAGAGGACCAGAGUGGACGAACCUCUGGUGUACCGGUUGUGACGCCAGUCGCAUCGCCGGGUAGCUAUGUUCGGAAGGGAUAACCGCUGAAAGCAUCUAAGCGGGAAGCCUACCUCAAGAUAAGAUUUCCCUAGGACUUUAUGUCCUCUAAAGAGCCGUUCGAGACUAGGACGUUGAUAGGUUGGAUGUGGAAGCAUAGUGAUAUGUGAAGCUGACCAAUACUAAUUGCUCGUGAGGCUUGACUA
This 2890-nucleotide ribosomal RNA is filed under the name Acinetobacter baumannii. RNAcentral's name for it is "23S ribosomal RNA". It matches the Rfam family "Bacterial large subunit ribosomal RNA". Lineage: Bacteria; Pseudomonadati; Pseudomonadota; Gammaproteobacteria; Moraxellales; Moraxellaceae. The record is from RNAcentral.